UUUCCUUCUUGCGCAAGCAGAGUUGAGAACAGGCUAUGCCUUUUUCGAAAUGGAACGUCGUGGACGAAGUGAACUAAACAUUUAGCACGCUUUGGCCGCCGAACUUUUAACUAA
Molecule: unclassified non-coding RNA, 114 nt
Filed under: uncultured Pichia
Lineage: Eukaryota; Fungi; Ascomycota; Saccharomycetes; Saccharomycetales; Saccharomycetaceae
Description: sequence contains ITS2
Source: RNAcentral